CGUUUCAAACAACAACAACAACAACAACAACAACAAAACACAGAGAGAUUUGGGUUGGUGGCUCAAUGUAGAAUGCCCUUUUCUACGGAUCACUAUAUUCCAUGUUGGACUUCUGGUUGGCUUGUUUAGUUUUUUCUUUGGAAUUCAGUGCUACCACACAGACGUGUGCAAACACACCCACACACACACCAUUAAACAAACAAAGGCCAGUGGGUCUCUUGGCUAAGGAUUCUAUGGUGCAUAUGCAAGAAAUGCUACUGAUAAGGAAUGUUAUAUCAAGUUUCUCAAGAGUGGAUAAAGCUGACCAAUCUAGCUGCUAUACUUGGAGAGGAUAAUAUGGAUGGUGUAAAUUAGAAUUGUAUAUAAGCAAUAAGUUAGAAUAUGGACAGUCUUUUUUUUCCCCCUUUUUUUUUUUUUUAAAGAAAAUGGACAUUCUUUCAUGAUUCAUCAAAAGAAUCAUUGGAGAAACUGAUUUAUCAUGUGACCUCAAGUGUUUCUUGGAAACCUUUUGGAGGAAAAAGAAAUUAAACAUGCUGAACUGGCUGAAAAAAAUAUAGAAGAAGCACUUUCAGAUCAUAUUAAAUAUAUACAAACUGGAAAGAAUCUAUGCACACAGAAAACACCCAAUUUGAAGUGACUUUUAAAGUCUUCAGCAGAGUUAGCGGCAUGACAACAGAAAGAAAUGAAAGUCUGGACAAUGUUUGCUCCACUUAAUAUGGAGAAAAAAAAUGUCCCAAAAUAGAUGAUGAUCUGAGCCAUGCACAUGAAAGUUGCAUUUCUACAGAAAAUGGGCCAAACGUCUUACAGAAAAUCCUGAAAGUGCUAUUUGUUCUUCACAAUGCCAGAUGAGUUCCCAUGAGGAAAAAUUAUGAUAACUGGAGGUCAUCGAAUCUGCUUGCUGAGAAAAACUUAGUUACAUAAGAAAAUAAAAUGAGCCAGGCAUUGUGGCUCAUGCCUUUAAUCCCAGCACUUGGGGAGGCCAAGGUGGGAGGAUUGCUUGAAGCCGGAGUUCAGAACCAUCCUGGCCAACAUAGUGAGACCUCAUCUCUAUUUUUUAAAAAAUUAAAAAUUUGUUGUAUGCAUUUUAUAUUUAUUUUAUAUUUUAUAUAUAAAGGAACAUAAAAUGCAUACAACCAACAAAGUAUAUUGAAGCCAAGAUCACAUGCAGCUUUUGGGAAGAGGAUCCACAUGCUCCUGUUCUAACAGGGCCACUUUGGAAAGGCCCAGGACAAUAUGUUUCCCUGGAAUAUCAGAUCACUAAGGAAGGUUAAGCUAGGUGGGCUCAGAAAUCUAGAAUCCAUAGUUGUCCUGUGAGGACCUGAAGAAACUUAGGAUAAAAGACAAAUGAUUUCCCUAGAACGAUUCCAUUCUGAUCCAGAUCUUGCUCCAAAAAGCCUUUUGACUUUGAUAGACUUGCUGAAUCUGAAGACUUCAGAAGUUUCAGUACACCUUAAAUGGAAAUAAAGUCCGAUAGAAAUACUACAAAGAUGUACCUGAUGAGAACAAGUGACUUGUCUCCCCCACCUGAAAGUGGAAUGGCUGGCUCAAGCAUAGUUCUGCCAUCUCACAGUCAGAGUCCCAAACAUUCUCAUGAACUCCAGGGGCAUUUCAUGUUCCAAAGACUUCUGUUUGCUCGCCCUUCUUUGGAGAGUAUAUAUGGAUGUUCCCCAAGUGCUUGUUCUCCUAAGUGAUUUCCAGGACCUAACACACUCUCCAUUUACAAUGCCAAGUUAUUCUCUCCUAAUUGCUGUAUUCCUCCCCUCCCAUUUGAAAACCCUGAAGGUAGAUGUGACCCGCACUUAGGGUUAGCUGAGCUUUCAAAUAAAACUCAAUCCAAAGAUCCAAAA
RNAcentral lists this long non-coding RNA (1847 nucleotides) under Homo sapiens (human). Its description in RNAcentral is "HSALNT0333339". Lineage: Eukaryota; Metazoa; Chordata; Mammalia; Primates; Hominidae. The record is from RNAcentral.